AGGAUUUUCUUGAGGGCUUCAAUUGCCUCUUCGUACGAAUUCUUUCCCAUUUCUUCUCUCUGCCAAUUCCUCAUCAAAAACACUUCUCAGGUUUCACAAAUUUUGUAUCAUUUAUAUAUCACCAUAAAUAAAGUUUAAUUCUUUACCUUGUUGCAAUCAAGCAUAGAGGCAUAAAAGAAAGGAAUGAGAGAUACUUAUUAUCACUUCUAAAUUCUUUAACUAUGACGAGGAAAAUAAAGAAUUAAUUAAUAAAAUAUGGGUUUAAUUAUAUUAAACCUGAUUUGCCUAAAAUAACAUAUUUUAACCGGGCUUAAUGAUUCUUGUUAGAAUCUUUGCUUCCAUAUUCGGCCAUGCAAAUUUCCUUCGGUUUUAUAUUAAAGUUGAUUCUAUGCAACUGUUGUGUAUAAAAUAGAUAAAUUUUAACGAUUGAUUAUAAUGGAAUUUAUAAGAGAUACCCAUGUUAAUAAUUAUAAUAAAAUCAUUUUAUAGAAUUACAAAUUUCAAAUUUAAAUCUCAAUUGAAACUUUAAUUCAAAUCCUAAUCUAAGCUGAUUAUAAAAAAAUAAUAAUAAUAAUAAUAAACUACAAAACCCGACCCAAUAUUGCAACCACAUAUUUAUUAUUAUUAUUAUCAUGAUACAACAAAUUUAACAUAUGAAAAUAACUUGUCUCUGAUUUAUCACCUGAAAUCACCUCAGCCAAAACUUUAAGUUCUGCAGGCAGGAAGCCUUUGAUGAUCAUGCUGCUACUUCAUUAAGUUUCCCUCUCAAAGAGGUCCAUCGGGCAUCCAUGCACAGACAAGAACCGGCUCUGCUAAGUUGCAUAUUCUGCACUUUAUAGGGAAAAAAGAACACAAGCAAACACACUGACUGGAAGCAUUGGACCCGUUAAAGCAGAAUCUCUGAUGAUAUUUACAAGGUGAAAAUGAGAAACCAUGAGUUGAUUGAACUAUGACCCGUCUUAAGAAACUUUCUCAACGCAUUCUACAGAACACCCCUCCCAAAAUUCUCUUGAUCGAGUUGAUAUCUUAACCCCCCAAGUUGGCUCUUGGACACAGCCUCGGCAAUGAGCCUUCCUGUCUCAAUAGCCUCCGUUUGCCCAUCUUGAACCGCCAAACAAUCCCUCGGUGUCUCAAACAAGGAAAGCGAGAACUGCUUAGACACUACACCAACAUCGAAAUAAAUAAGGCCCGAACUGGGCACAUCUACCCGAAUUCCCUUGACCGGAAACCACAAAAACAACUCUUGAGCAGAAAUUCCAGACAAAGCCCCGAUCUGGCCGUAGCUCAGAGUCCCAGAAACAUUCCUAUCGUAAUGCAAUUCGCUCUCGAACUUAGCGUUGCAAGCCUGAUCCAAGUGGACCAAGAAAUGGCCCGUACCAUUGAUUGUGAAAUCUUUAACGCCCUUAGGGAAUAGGCCCAUGGGCAGCCCAUGGUCCUUAAGAACAUCGUAGACUGAUGAAUCCUCCUCCCAUGGAUUGAC
This 1480-nucleotide unclassified non-coding RNA is filed under the name Hevea brasiliensis (rubber tree). The record is from RNAcentral. Lineage: Eukaryota; Viridiplantae; Streptophyta; Magnoliopsida; Malpighiales; Euphorbiaceae.